AUGAGGUGGCACGAGGUUCUGGUUAUUGGCUACGCGUGCGGUGGUGAAGAUCCUCUGUGCUCGGACCGCAGGCUGACAUGGAAUUCUCACACCUCUGCGUGCCCCUCCACCCCGAGCAUCAUUACUCAGCCUGCACCAAGUGGAUCUAGGGCCUGGCGCCCGUCAGCAGAGGAGCAAACCAGUGCUCGGAGAAGUCGAGUGACAUGUGCCAAAUCACACAGCAGACGUAAGGCAUCAGGGGUGAGUGGAGGCCCAACAUCUCUGCUGACCAACAGGGUGGACUGUCCCAUGAGGAGAAUGAGCCUGAAUGACGAGGGGCUGCGGUCAGGUCCCCGGGCUGAACGUCCCGGCCCGCGUGGCACCCCCUCACCUCACAGCCGCCUUCCUGCCACGUGCCUGGGUCCACCCGCAAAGCAGGGGGUGUCCAAAAGGCCCCUCAUCUGCUUACCUGCUCACAUGCUCUGCCCUCCUCUGGGAAUCCUGCCCUGUCCUUGGACGCCUUCCCCAGUGCCGCAUCCUUCAAGAAGCUCUCUUCAGUCCAGUCAACCCCGACGGACUCCUUCCAGACCCUGCCCAUCCUCCUCCCAGCCUUCUCGCACCUUCCCCAGGGCCUCUCCCUGGGCUCCUGCGGUCCCUCCCAGCGGGCUCCUCCCUCUGACUCCUGCCCCAUCUCUUCCCAUGGUGACCUGCCUAUGUCACCUCCUCAGAGAAGCCCUCUCUGAUACACCAACAUGGGAAACCUCCUGUUAG
RNAcentral lists this long non-coding RNA (750 nucleotides) under Felis catus (domestic cat). RNAcentral's name for it is "lncRNA (ENSFCAG00000052709.1)". The record is from RNAcentral. Lineage: Eukaryota; Metazoa; Chordata; Mammalia; Carnivora; Felidae.